Molecule: long non-coding RNA, 1555 nt
Organism: Drosophila simulans
Lineage: Eukaryota; Metazoa; Arthropoda; Insecta; Diptera; Drosophilidae
Exons: 2
Source: RefSeq, a predicted model, not a curated record
UUUUAGAUAAAGUAAUCAACUUGAAUAAACAGCAUAUGUGGCCAAAUUUGGGUUAUAUUGGAAGUUGGUCUGCGGCAACUGCAAUACAAUGUUUAUGUGGCAAGUAACGCCCCACAAUAUUGCCCUCUUUUAUUCCCAUUUACUCGUAGCCAUAUCUGAUGAGUCAUCUGAAAAAAGUUUUGCCAACAAGCUAAAUAAAAGGGGGUCAGAAUGCGAGCUAAACUAGCCAAAAAACCAGAUUCCAACGGGAAUGUCGUUAAGAUAUGGUGCUCUUUAGAAGUAUUUGCAAAAUUCAAACGUGUAAGCAAAUCCAGAAAAUUAGGGAAGACUCGUGCAUAAAUUUAACAAGCAAUGACACCGCGACAAAAACAAUCCCUGCUUUCGUAGGCGUUUUAAGCCAUUCAAAGCCCCUACAAACACACGUGCACCCGUGGGAAAGUGACGUAACAUUAGAGAGAGAGAGUGUGUGUGUUGGUAGAAAGAGAGGGGAGUGCAAUCAAUGACGUACGGAGUCCACAAACACCAGCAGCUGAGCCACAGAUGCAAUUAAAACUUUGUGAUUUAUCGCACAAAAACAAAAGGCACGUGAAGAUGGAGUGAGGAAGACAAGAGACUCGAACUGGUUGCAUCUGAAUGUUGUUGCUGAAUUACUUUUGCAGCGGGUACUAACUGUGGCAAUGUUUUUUUAUAAUUAAGCUACAUUUAAAUUUUUUUAUUUUCUUUGCACUCCUUACUCUAGUAUAUUAUUCAUUCCACAUAGUUUUAUCACCAUCAUCGCUAGAUGAAUAUUGAGUUAAUUUCUAAACAGAUUUUAUUGCUAAUAGUGUUUGUAAAUUAAAAUAAAUGGAUUUUAAGGCGUAACAAGAUAACAAUAAUAUUUUUGUGUUGGAUGGGUACAUUUUCAGAGGUAGCACAAGGCUGUGCCUCUUUUCUCUCUGUGUGAUAACAAGGAAAUGUAACGGAGAUUUACGCAAUGUGAGACCGAGGGAGUGGGCAAGGGAAAGAGAUAGACAGGGCCACUCACAGUCCAAGUGCUUCUUCUUCGGGCCAAUGCAUUCCUCCGUGGUGGCCUUGCAAACGGACUUGGCGAGUCCUUGGCCCGCAAGGCUGUGACGGGCGGCCAGCAGCCUGUCGUUGAUCGUUUGCCCUGCCAUGGUCAUGAUGAAGCUGUUGCUGUUGUUGUUCCUGCUCCCGCUCGCUGGCUUUUAUUUACUUGAUUAAUUUAAUUAUGCACCUAAGGAGCUGACCACACCGACACACACACACACACUCGCAAGCAGAUACAGAGAGAGGGAGAGAGAGACACACACACGCGUAUGGGGCGAGCGAGAGACAGAGAGGUAUUGAUUGAUUGAGAAUAUUUCGAACGGGAAAACUCUGCUAUGCGAGCCUCACGAUUAAACAAACGGUAAAGAUUUAGUGGUUCCUACGUCACAAUCACUACACAAUUUAUCACCGCGAUUUAUGCGCUCUCUAACCGGUGCCUAACGCUGAAACGCGAUUUUUUAAUUCUCUAUUUUUCCUCUGCCACAAAUCGAUAAUGGCGACUGGCAAA